UCCAGCAAUGCCGCGUGAGUGAAGAAGGCCUUCGGGUUGUAAAGCUCUUUUACCCGGGAAGAUAAUGACUGUACCGGGAGAAUAAGCCCCGGCUAACUCCGUGCCAGCAGCCGCGGUAAUACCGAAGGGGCUAGCGUUGUUCGGAAUUACUGGGCGUAAAGCGUACGUAGGCGGUCUUUUAAGUCAGAGGUGAAAGCCCGGGGCUCAACUCCGGAAUUGCCUUUGAAACUGGGAGACUUGAACAUGGGAGAGGUAAGUGGAAUUCCGAGUGUAGAGGUGAAAUUCGUAGAUAUUCGGAGGAACACCAGUGGCGAAGGCGGCUUACUGGACCAUUGUUGACGCUGAGGUACGAAAGCGUGGGGAGCAAACAGGAUUAGAUACCCUGGUAGUCCACGCCGUAAACGAUGACAACUAGCUGUUCGGGCACUUGGUGCUUCUGUGGCGCAGCUAACACAUUAAGUUGUCCGCCUGGGGAGUACGGCCGCCACGGUUAAACUCAUAAGAAUUGACGGGGGCCUGCAC
RNAcentral lists this ribosomal RNA (522 nucleotides) under uncultured Alphaproteobacteria bacterium. RNAcentral's name for it is "bacterial SSU rRNA". It matches the Rfam family "Bacterial small subunit ribosomal RNA", at positions 387 to 926 of the family's 1533-position model. Lineage: Bacteria; Pseudomonadati; Pseudomonadota; Alphaproteobacteria. The record is from RNAcentral.